RNAcentral lists this transfer RNA (66 nucleotides) under Marmota monax (woodchuck). RNAcentral describes it as "tRNA.Ala". The record is from RNAcentral. Lineage: Eukaryota; Metazoa; Chordata; Mammalia; Rodentia; Sciuridae.
GGUUGUAGCUCAGUGGUACAGCACUUGCCUAGCACUUGUGAGCUCUGGGUUCAAUCCCCAGUACCA